Molecule: long non-coding RNA, 232 nt
Filed under: Panax ginseng (ginseng)
Lineage: Eukaryota; Viridiplantae; Streptophyta; Magnoliopsida; Apiales; Araliaceae
Description: long non-coding RNA (PGIN_LNC002544)
Source: RNAcentral
UGGAAAUUAAUUUAAUAUUAGUACUCUCAUUUAUUCCUAAUAAGAUUAGGAGGCUAAUUAAUUAAAAGAUUUUAAUUAAUUAUUCCUAAUGAGAUUGGGAACAUAAUUAAUUAAAGGAUUUUAAUUAAUUAAAAUAAAAUCCAAUUCCUUAACAAUUAAGGAGGGUUGCCCACAUCUCUAAAUAAAAGGAGCCUUAUAAUGGGUGGAGUGAUUGUUGACUUUUUCACAACAG